UGGAGAUAAAUGAAUGGAGUGGUAUGGGAAAAGCUUGCACUGCAGUGUUCAUAUUGUCUGUACGUAAAUAGGAUACUUCAGCUGCCUGCUAAUAAUCUGGCACCUUUCACAAAAUUCAAACAUUUUAAAAAUUCCGUGCUCUGGACCACAGGAAUUGGGGCUCCUGAUAGGCCAGGAUAGAGGAUAGCAAUUUGCCCUGCUUAUGACAACUCCUUUGCGCAUCUUCUCUGAGAACCAAUUGGUGACUGGACCAAAAAUGUUCCCUCAGUUGGAUGUUCUGGUUGAUAAAUUAAUAGCAAGGUUAUUUUGCUACCUAUAUGCUGUUGCUGGAAUCAGUUUCUAUGUAUGGCUUUUACUCAGGCCGCUAUAUUUCAGAUCUUCUAUUGGAAGAUGCAAGUUAUACAAACCUACCCCAGGAUGAUGGGCAGAAAUAAGAGACUGCCUUAAAAAUGAACUCUACUGCCAUGUUGUAACUCAAUACCUCGUUCUAAGAUGGAAGGGUUCGGGUUCAUUAUCUACAACAUCCAUAGAACAAAUCUGUUGCUCCAAAACCCAGCUCCAGAAUCUGCAAGGACAUCUCU
Non-coding RNA from Struthio camelus australis, 581 nucleotides. The record is from RefSeq and is a predicted model, not a curated record. NCBI's taxonomy places the organism in Eukaryota, Metazoa, Chordata, Aves, Struthioniformes, Struthionidae.